GAAGUAAAUCAGGUGAUCGCCGUCCCGGUCUUCGACCGGGAGGGAGGAAAGUCCGGGCUCCACAGGGCAGGAUACUCCGUAACGCGGAGCGGGGGUGACCCCAGGGAAAGUGCCACAGAAAAGACACAGCCCACCCGGCCUCGCCGGCGGCAAUGGUGAAAAGGUGAGGUAAGAGCUCACCAGUACCGCUGGAGACAGCGGUAGCUUGGUAAACCCUAUCCGGAGCAAGGUCGAAUAGGAAAGCGAUCGAGGGCGGCUCGUCCGAUGCUUUCGGGUUGACCGCUAGAGCCUUCCGGCAACGGCAGGCCUAGAUUGAUGAUCACCACCCCGCCUCCGGGCGGGGGACAGAACCCGGCUUACGAUUUACUUCGGCC
RNAcentral lists this RNase P RNA (374 nucleotides) under Nitrospinae bacterium CG11_big_fil_rev_8_21_14_0_20_56_8. Its description in RNAcentral is "RNase P RNA component class A". It matches the Rfam family "Bacterial RNase P class A". Rfam says of the family: Ribonuclease P (RNase P) is a ubiquitous endoribonuclease, found in archaea, bacteria and eukarya as well as chloroplasts and mitochondria. The record is from RNAcentral. Lineage: Bacteria; Pseudomonadati; Nitrospinota.